This 69-nucleotide transfer RNA is filed under the name Achatinella sowerbyana. RNAcentral's name for it is "tRNA-Asp". The record is from RNAcentral. Lineage: Eukaryota; Metazoa; Mollusca; Gastropoda; Stylommatophora; Achatinellidae.
UUUUAAUUAAGUUAAAAAAACUUAUUUUUUGUCAAAAAAUCAAUCUUUCUUUUUAAAAAAGAUUAAAAU